AGAGUUUGAUCCUGGCUCAGAACGAACGCUGGCGGCGUGCCUAACACAUGCAAGUCGAGCGCGAAUAGGGGCAACCCUUAGUAGAGCGGCGCACGGGUGCGUAACACGUGGGUAAUCUGCCUGGAAGCCUGGGAUAACUAGCCGAAAGGUUAGCUAAUACCAGAUGAGACCACGGACUCUUCGGAGUCUGAGGGAAAAGGUGGCCUCUGUAUACAAGCUAUCACUUCCAGAUGAGCCCGCGGCCCAUCAGCUUGUUGGUGGGGUGAUGGCCUACCAAGGCGACGACGGGUAGCCGGCCUGAGAGGGUGUCCGGCCACACUGGGACUGAGAUACGGCCCAGACUCCUACGGGAGGCAGCAGUGGGGAAUAUUGCACAAUGGGCGCAAGCCUGACGCAGCGACGCCGCGUGAGGGAUGACGGCCUUCGGGUUGUAAACCUCUUUCAAUAGGGACGAAGCGUAAGUGACGGUACCUAUAGAAGAAGCACCGGCCAACUACGUGCCAGCAGCCGCGGUAAUACGUAGGGACCGAGCGUUGUCCGGAUUUAUUGGGCGUAAAGAGCUCGUAGGCGGCUAUCCACGUCGGAUGUGAAAGCUCAUGGCUCAACCGUGAGAGGCCAUUCGAUACGGGAUAGCUAGAGGUAGGUAGGGGAAAGUGGAAUUCCUGGUGUAGCGGUGAAAUGCGCAGAUAUCAGGAGGAACACCGGUGGCGAAGGCGGCUUUCUGGGCCUUACCUGACGCUGAGGAGCGAAAGCUGGGGGAGCAAACAGGAUUAGAUACCCCCGUAGUCC
This 789-nucleotide ribosomal RNA is filed under the name uncultured Actinomycetales bacterium. Its description in RNAcentral is "bacterial SSU rRNA". It matches the Rfam family "Bacterial small subunit ribosomal RNA", at positions 8 to 796 of the family's 1533-position model. Lineage: Bacteria; Bacillati; Actinomycetota; Actinomycetes; Actinomycetales. The record is from RNAcentral.